UGUCCUAGUGUGCCUAGGAUAGUGGUAGUGCAGAAAUGCCAAAAGCUAUGAGAUAAAGUAACAAUGCUUAUAUCUUUUGAAUACUUUAAAGGCUUAAGAGAUAUGAUCUGAAAAGUGAGGGGAAAAAAAUAAUGGAGUACUUUGAAGAGAAGCUAAAAUGUGGAAUGUUUCACCUUAAAGAUGUAGUUCCAGGACCCCGAUUUCUCUAGAAAUCCACAGCAACACUUGAACCGCUGAACAAAUACAGUCUGGAUUCCUGAGACCAAAGGGCUCGGGAAAAUCGCUGAAAACCCGCUAUACUGGACCAGCUGCUCUCUGCCAGAACAUCAAUCAAAGGGCAGCUUACUGGAACCUUGAAGACCACCUAAGGAGCUACUUCCCCUGUUUUAAGAUAAACUGAAGCCCAGAAGUGUAUUGUGGAAGCUGGAGUCAGAGUUUGACUCCUGAUCCUCUCACUGAAUGUGUGGAGGCCCCCCAAAAUCUCAUGUUCCUGGGAGAAGUUAGCUGACUUUUCAAUUUUUCUUAGUGCUGGAAAGUCAUCCGUGGAGGAUGAAGUCAUCCAAGACAGCUGGUAAAACACACAGUGUCACCAUACCAGGAAUUCAUGACUAUGUCCUUGA
Acinonyx jubatus (cheetah) is the source of this 620-nucleotide long non-coding RNA. RefSeq lists it as uncharacterized. NCBI's taxonomy places the organism in Eukaryota, Metazoa, Chordata, Mammalia, Carnivora, Felidae. The transcript is spliced from 4 exons. The record is from RefSeq and is a predicted model, not a curated record.